GAUGAACGCUGGCGGCGUGCCUAAUACAUGCAAGUCGAGCGAACAGACGAGGAGCUUGCUCCUCUGACGUUAGCGGCGGACGGGUGAGUAACACGUGGAUAACCUACCUAUAAGACUGGGAUAACUUCGGGAAACCGGAGCUAAUACCGGAUAAUAUAUUGAACCGCAUGGUUCAAUAGUGAAAGACGGUUUUGCUGUCACUUAUAGAUGGAUCCGCGCCGCAUUAGCUAGUUGGUAAGGUAACGGCUUACCAAGGCAACGAUGCGUAGCCGACCUGAUAGGGUGAUAGGGCACACUGGAACUUAGACACCGUCCAGAGUCCUUCAGGAGGCAACAGGAGGGUAUCUUUCGGAAUGGGCGGAAGCCUUACAGUACGACCGCGCGGGUGUUGAGAAAGGGCUUCGAUCGUAAAACCCUAGUAUUAGGGAAGAACAAAUGUGUAAGUAACUAUGCACGUAUUGACGGUACCUAAUCAGAAAGCCACGGCUAACUACGUG
This 497-nucleotide ribosomal RNA is filed under the name uncultured bacterium. RNAcentral describes it as "partial 16S ribosomal RNA". It matches the Rfam family "Bacterial small subunit ribosomal RNA", at positions 28 to 507 of the family's 1533-position model. The record is from RNAcentral.